AGCAUCCUCUUCAUCCACGGAGCCCCUCCUCCCUGCCCCUGGCUGAUGCUUCCUUACUGAUGUAGUUAAGGGACCUGUCGCUAGAACAAGGGACCAGAGAGCAUCCAGACUGCUUAAAGGAAAGCCUCUUUCUAACCGUUUGUGAAACUUGUCCAAGCAAGGGACUCGUGCAGCGCCUCCUCUCCACUCUCCACUCAGUGCCCCAGAGGCUCAGCCACCGCGACCUUCCCACCCGCGGAUCCCUGUAGCUUUCCCCCACCAGCCAUGCUCCUGCUGCUCCUGCCGGUGCUCGAAAUGGUUUUCACCCUGAGAGGAAGCGGAGCCCAGUCAGUGACCCAGCCUGACCGCCACGUCCUGGUCUCUGAAGGAGCCCCUCUGCAGCUGAGGUGCAGCUACUCAUCUUCUGUUCCUCCCUCUCUCUUCUGGUACCAGCAACGCCCCAGCCAAGGCCCUCAGCUCCUCCUGAAGUACGCAUCAGGGGCCACCCUGGUGACAGGCAUCAAUGGUUUCCAGGCUGAACUUAGGAAGAAUGAAACCUCCUUCCACCUGAGGAAGCCCUCAGCCCAUUGGAGCGACUCAGCUGAGUACUUCUGUGCUUUGAGUGACACAGUGCCUUGGGCUGCAGGGGGAGCUGAGCACAAACCUCCUGACACAGGGGACUUUCUGUGACACACAGGCUCAAGCUGGGGAGUUUCAAUUUCUGUGCAGCCCAAGAUGGCAGGGUGGACUGAGCCCCUGAGAGUGUUUGUCACCUGAAUAGUUGCCUCCAUGUCUGUGUUCUGUCAUCUUUAGACUGGCUGUGUCCCAGAUGAAAAUCUUAUGAUGAAUUUUUUUAGGAGGGACCUCUGUCCCCAUCAACUUCAUUCCCCAACUCCCACCCCACACCUACACUCUGAAGAACACACAUCAUAUCUAUAAGGGCUCUGAAAUUUAAAAAGAAACAUCAUCUUUAUUUUAAAAACUCAUUUCUAGCAUCCACUAUGAUGAUUAGCAUUGCCUCGGGUGUUGAUCAGACAUGGAUACUUGUUUGUGUUAGUAGGCAAACUGUGCAGCCUAGAUUCUCAUUUAGGACAACCUUUAGGGUAUAGAUUCUCAAUCAGUGCACUAUAGACUCUAAAUCUAGAUUGGAAGCUUAACUUCUUGCACAUACAUAAUAUCUCUGUGUGAUAUUGACAUUUUAAAGUAAUUUAAACAAAUGUCUAUAUUUCUCAUUUUGUAUUACAGAGCCAAUGAUCAAAUUAAACAUAAUUUUAAUGAGAUAGGAAAACUAAAAUCCAUACAGUUGUAAUCUGUUGAAACAGUUAUUCCAGUGAUUUUCAUAUGAAAAAUUUGAGACAAUUAUCCCAUAAAAGGAAAUCAAAUAAAAGAGAUGAAAGUACUGAAAAACCCUUAGUUAUUCCCUUUUAAGAAGUUAUUCUAAUUCAUGGUAUAAUAUAAAAGUAAACACUUGAAAAACAUUUUUAUUCUUUCAAAGCACAUUAACAACAUUAAUAGGAAGAUAGACCUUCACUACCAAAGUUCACAGUAUCAGACAUUACAUCAGUUCUCACAGGGAUAUCAAAUGAAAGAAACCAUUUUUAUUUACUCUGAGACAAUUAUAUAAAAAUACAACAUGUUUAAGAAAUCUAUAUCUAUGUCUAUCUACAUAUAUACACUUAUGAUUUCAAAUUGCUUUUGUGUUUUGGUUCAAAUGGUAGGAUUAAAAAAUGUAACAUGAAAAGUC
Molecule: non-coding RNA, 1723 nt
Organism: Ictidomys tridecemlineatus (thirteen-lined ground squirrel)
Lineage: Eukaryota; Metazoa; Chordata; Mammalia; Rodentia; Sciuridae
Source: the annotation of a RefSeq genome assembly